Fukomys damarensis (Damara mole-rat) is the source of this 1087-nucleotide long non-coding RNA. RefSeq lists it as uncharacterized. The record is from RefSeq and is a predicted model, not a curated record. The transcript has 3 exons. Lineage: Eukaryota; Metazoa; Chordata; Mammalia; Rodentia; Bathyergidae.
UCAAAGCAAGCACGGGUUUAUAUUCUUCUGAUUCUUUUUUUUUUUUCUUUUGGUGCCGGAGAUCAAACUUCAGACCUUGCGUUUGCGAGGCAGGCGGUGGAACCACUGAGCUAAAUCCGUGAGGCUGCUGUUUGUGGGUGUGCUUUGCAUUUCGGGGAUUACCACGGUACCAGGGAAGGGUCCCCUUUGCCUGUCCUGGAAGACUCAACAGGAGCUAAAGGCUUAUGAGCUGGAGAUAGAAAGCCUGGGCCAACCACUGUGGCCCUAAUAGAAGUGCAGUGCAAGUUAUACAGGACCACCUUGAGGAUGGGAGCUUCCUUCUGAAGAUGAUGUCCGGUCUCUUCCAGCACUGAAGGCUGCCCACACGCAGCAGCUCAAAGCCCCGCACCAGGCCCACCUCUGUUUCUGUGGUCAGGUCUCUUUCUCCAAGCUGGACUUUCCUGUGUUCUGCUCAUAAGGAUCUUUGUGGUGAUGUGAGGCCCACACAGUAGCACAAAAGAACCACCCCAUCCCGAGACCCUCAGUUUGAUGAGUCUCAGCAAGUCCCCUUACCAUCCCCACAUCCGGGGCGUAAGAGGCAGGCAUUGUUGGGGGGGUGUUAUUUGGCCUGCUGCAGGUGAACAGGAGGGACUGAGAUGUUAGGGCUUCUAGUUAAAGUGGGACCUGGGGAAGAAGGGAUGAUUCAGUUUGUCCAAGGUGAGAGCUAAGGACGAGCAGAAAUUCCAUAGCAGGAAACUAGGAGAAGCUGAAGGUUUUAACUCUUGGGAGGAAAUCGGCUCCAGGAUUAUCUCAAUGACCAGGCUCUUUUCAUUCUUUUUCUUUUUUUUUUCCUUUCUUUUCUCCCCCUCUCCCUCCCUCCUUUCUCUCCCUCCCUCUCUCCCUUUUUGUCAUUUGGAGAUCCUGUCACAGUUACCAGUCCUAGAACAGAGCUUCUCCAGAGAUCAUACCCAUUCCACAGCCUCAGGUCCCCCUGACCCACAUCCUCUACCACCCAUGCACACAACCUCAGAGCACAGCCAGAGGCUCAACUCUGAUGCAUGCCAAGUAGUAGGGUUUUUUUGUUUUGUUUUGUUUUGGGUGGGUACUG